Periconia digitata is the source of this 1800-nucleotide non-coding RNA. The record is from the annotation of a GenBank genome assembly. NCBI's taxonomy places the organism in Eukaryota, Fungi, Ascomycota, Dothideomycetes, Pleosporales, Periconiaceae.
UACUUAGUUAAUUCUGCUAGUAGUUAUAUGCUUGUCUUAAAAAUUAAGCUAUAUAUAUUUAAGUAUAAGCAAUUAUACUAUAAAACUACAAAUAGCUUAUUAAAUUAGUUAUUAUUUAUUUAAUAGUACCUUACUACUUAAAUAACUAUAAUAAUUUAAAAGCUAAUAUAUGCUAAAAACUUUAACUUUAAAAAGAGUAUAUUUAUUAAAUAAAAAACUAAUGCCUUUUAAAGCUUUUUAGUAAUUUAUAAUAACUUUUUAAAUUGCAUAGCUUUGCGCUAGCAACAGUUUAUUUAAAUUUCUACUUUAUUAACUUUUAAUAGUAAAGUAUUAGCUUACUAUAGUUUUAACAAGUAAUAAAGAAUUAGAGUUUAAUUUUAAAAAAAAAAGCUUAAAAAAUAGCUACUAUAUUAAAGGUAGGCAGCAGGUGCGCAAAUUACUUAAUUUUAAUAUAAAGAGGUAGUAAUAAUAAAUACUAAUAUAAAGCUCUUUAGGGUCUUGUAAUUAGAAUAAGUAUAAUAUAAACUUUUUAAUAAAGAAUAAUUAAAAAGCAAGUCUAGUGCUAGCAGCUAUAGUAAUUUUAGCUUUAAUAGUAUAUAUUAAAGUUAUUGCAGUUAAAAAGCUUAUAGUUAAAACUUUAGCUUAGCUAGUAAGUCUGCCUUACUACAUAUAUUUGCUUAGCUAAGCUUUUCUUUUUAAAAAACUAUAUACUCUUUACUAGGUGUAUUAAAAACUAGAACUUUUACUUUAAAUAAAUUAAAGUGUUUAAAGUAGACAUUUGCUUAAAUACGUUAGUAUAAAAUAAUAAAAUAGGACGUAUAGUUUUAUUUUAUUAGUUUUUAAAACUGCUAUAAUAAUUAAUAGAGAUAGUUAAAAGCACUAGUAUUUAAUUAUUAAAAGUAAAAUUUUUAAAUUUAUUAAAGACUAACUACUGCAAAAGCAUUUGCUAAAAAUAUUUUUAUUAAUUAGUAAAUAAAAGUUAAAGAAUUAAAAAUAAUUAGAUACUAUUAUAGUUUUAACUAUAAACUAUACUAACUAGAAAUUAAGUAAUAUUACUAUUUUAACUUGCUUAGCACUUUAUAAAAAAUUAAAGUGUUUAAGUUUUAAGAAAAGUAUAGUUGUAAAGCUAAAACAUAAAAAAAUUAAUAAAAAAGUACUACUAGGCGUAGAGCCUGCAGCUUAAUUUAACUUAAUAUAAAAAAACUUACUAAGUUUAAAUAAAAUAAAAAUUAAUAAAUUAAAAGCUUUUUUUUAAUUUUUUAAGUAGUAGUGCAUAGCUAUUUUUAGUUAGUAAAGUAAUUUAUUUACUUAAUUAUAAUAAUAAAUAAGACUUUAACUUACUAAAUAGCUAGGCUAGCUUUAGCUAGUUGCUAGCUUCUUAAAAAGACUAUUAGCUUAAGCUAAUAGAAGUUUAAAGUAAUAAUAAGUUUAUAAUACUUUUAAAUAUUUUAGGCUGCACGCGCGCUACACUAAUAAAGCUAAUAAGCUUUUUUUUUUAGCUAAAAAGCUUAAGUAAUUUUGUUAAACUCUAUUAUGCUAGAGAUAAAGCAUUAUAAUUAUUACUUUUUAAUAAAGAAUACUUAGUAAGCGCGUGUUAUUAGCACGCGUUAAUUGCAUCUCUACUUUUAUAUAUACUACUUAUUACUACUACUAAUUAAAUAGCUUAGUAAAGCCUUUAAACUAGCUUAAAAAAGUUAGUAAUAACUACUUUAAGCUAAAAAGUUUAUUAAACUUAGUUAUUUAAAAAAAGUAAAAGUUAUAAUGAAGUUUCUAUAAGUAAACCUAUAGAAAAAUUAUUAU